Molecule: ribosomal RNA, 480 nt
Filed under: uncultured Pelotomaculum sp.
Lineage: Bacteria; Bacillati; Bacillota; Clostridia; Eubacteriales; Desulfotomaculaceae
Description: bacterial SSU rRNA
Rfam family: Bacterial small subunit ribosomal RNA
Source: RNAcentral
AAAUGAAUUUGACGGGGCCCGCACAAGCGGUGAGCAUGUGGUUUAAUUCGACGCAACGCGAAGAACCUUACCAGGGCUUGACAUCCCCUGACCGCGUACGAAGUACGAAUUCACCCUCGGGUGACAGGGAGACAGGUGGUGCAUGGUUGUCGUCAGCUCGUGUCGUGAGAUGUUGGGUUAAGUCCCGCAACGAGCGCAACCCCUACGUUUAGUUGCUAACGCGUGAAGGCGAGCACUCUAGACGAACUGCCGUUGACAAAACGGAGGAAGGUGGGGAUGACGUCAAAUCAUCAUGCCCCUUAUGUUCUGGGCUACACACGUGCUACAAUGGCCGGUACAGACGGACGCAAAGCCGCGAGGUGGAGCAAAUCCUAAAAAGCCGGUCUCAGUUCGGAUUGCAGGCUGCAAUUCGACUACGUGAAGUCGGAAUCGCUAGUAAUCGUGGAUCAGAAUGUCACGGUGAAUACGCUCCCGGGUCUU